RNAcentral lists this ribosomal RNA (434 nucleotides) under uncultured Ruminococcus sp. RNAcentral describes it as "partial 16S ribosomal RNA". It matches the Rfam family "Bacterial small subunit ribosomal RNA", at positions 341 to 792 of the family's 1533-position model. The record is from RNAcentral. Lineage: Bacteria; Bacillati; Bacillota; Clostridia; Eubacteriales; Oscillospiraceae.
ACGGGAGGCAGCAGUGGGGAAUAUUGCACAAUGGGCGCAAGCCUGAUGCAGCGAUGCCGCGUGAGGGAAGAAGGUUUUCGGAUUGUAAACCUCUGUCAUCGGGGACGAUAAUGACUGUACCCGAGAAGGAAGCUCCGGCUAACUACGUGCCAGCAGCCGCGGUAAUACGUAGGGAGCGAGCGUUAUCCGGAAUUACUGGGUGUAAAGGGAGUGUAGGCGGGACUGUAAGUCAGAUGUGAAAUAUGCCGGCUCAACUGGCAGACUGCAUUUGACACUGGGGUUCUGGAGUGAAGUAGAGGUAAGCGGAAUUCCUAGUGUAGCGGUGACAUGCGUAGAUAUUAGGAGGAACAUCAGUGGCGAAGGCGGCUGACUGGACAUUAACUGACGCUCAGGCUCGAAAGCGUGGGGAGCAAACAGGAUUAGAUACCCUGGUA